CCCGCCGUAGCUUAGUGGCAGAGCACUCGGCUGUAGACCGAGGCUCUUACGGUCGCCGGUUCAAAUCCGGUCGGCGGGACCA
Molecule: transfer RNA, 82 nt
Filed under: Candidatus Odinarchaeum yellowstonii
Lineage: Archaea; Promethearchaeati; Candidatus Odinarchaeota; Candidatus Odinarchaeia; Candidatus Odinarchaeales; Candidatus Odinarchaeaceae
Description: tRNA-Tyr
Rfam family: tRNA
About the family: Transfer RNA (tRNA) molecules are approximately 80 nucleotides in length. Their secondary structure includes four short double-helical elements and three loops (D, anti-codon, and T loops).
Source: RNAcentral